AAAGAUUUAGUUAAAAUUAUAACAUUAGAAUGUCAAACUAAAAUUGUUCAAAACAAUCUUUU
RNAcentral lists this transfer RNA (62 nucleotides) under Graphocaecilius interpretatus. RNAcentral's name for it is "tRNA-Asp". The record is from RNAcentral. Lineage: Eukaryota; Metazoa; Arthropoda; Insecta; Psocodea; Sphaeropsocidae.